AGCGAACGCUGGCGGCAGGCCUAACACAUGCAAGUCGAACGAACCUUUCGGGGUUAGUGGCGGACGGGUGAGUAACACGUGGGAACGUGCCUUUAGGUUCGGAAUAACUCAGGGAAACUUGUGCUAAUACCGAAUGUGCCCUUCGGGGGAAAGAUUUAUCGCCUUUAGAGCGGCCCGCGUCUGAUUAGCUUGUUGGUUGAGGUAAUGGCUCACCAAGGCGACGAUCAGUAGCUGGUCUGAGAGGAUGAUCAGCCACAUUGGGACUGAGACACGGCCCAAACUCCUACGGGAGGCAGCAGUGGGGAAUCUUGCGCAAUGGGCGAAAGCCUGACGCAGCCAUGCCGCGUGAAUGAUGAAGGUCUUAGGAUUGUAAAAUUCUUUCACCGGGGACGAUAAUGACGGUACCCGGAGAAGAAGCCCCGGCUAACUUCGUG
This 434-nucleotide ribosomal RNA is filed under the name uncultured bacterium. RNAcentral describes it as "partial 16S ribosomal RNA". It matches the Rfam family "Bacterial small subunit ribosomal RNA", at positions 29 to 507 of the family's 1533-position model. The record is from RNAcentral.